Molecule: unclassified non-coding RNA, 339 nt
Filed under: soil metagenome
Description: partial contains 5.8S ribosomal RNA, internal transcribed spacer 2, and large subunit ribosomal RNA
Rfam family: 5.8S ribosomal RNA (bases 3-119)
Source: RNAcentral
GAGAAGAACGCAGCGAAAUGCGAUAAGUAAUGUGAAUUGCAGAAUUCCGUGAAUCAUCGAAUCUUUGAACGCACAUUGCGCCCCUCGGUAUUCCGGGGGGCAUGCCUGUCCGAGCGUCAUUGCAACCUUCAAGCGCGGCUUGUGUGUUGGGCCUCGUCCCCCGUGGACGGGCCUGAAAGGCAGUGGCGGCGCCCGAAUCCGGUGCCCGAGCGUAUGGGGCUUCGUCACCCGCUCUUGUAGGCCCGGCCGGCGCUUGCCGACACAUCAAUCUUUUUUCCAGGUUGACCUCGGAUCAGGUAGGGAUACCCGCUGAACUUAAGCAUAUCAAUAAGCGGAGGA